RNAcentral lists this non-coding RNA (94 nucleotides) under Gloeochaete wittrockiana. Lineage: Eukaryota; Glaucocystophyceae; Gloeochaetales; Gloeochaetaceae. The record is from RNAcentral.
AAGAAAAAGAGAAAGAAGAAAAAGAGAGAAGAAAGAGAAAGAGAAAGGAAAAGUUCUCCCUCCACGUUUCCCUUUUUUUCUUUUGUUUUUCGUU